This is a long non-coding RNA of Gallus gallus (chicken), 560 nucleotides long. The record is from Ensembl. Lineage: Eukaryota; Metazoa; Chordata; Aves; Galliformes; Phasianidae.
UCCCAGUGUCACCUCAGUGAUCUACAGCCAAAUGCGACUCCCAGGAAAGAUCAUAAACUGAAUUAGUCUUGAAGUUAAGACAUCUUUGAGCUCUGUGGACAGCUUCUGUGGUUAAAUGUUUUCUUCAAAAUAAUACAUAAUUGGCGUUAAUAGAUGAUCAGCAAUGAAAAAGAGACCUGAUCUUUGCUACAAGAGCAUUUACAGUGCUGCUUUUAUACUCCCAGUUCAUGUUAUGGAUGGAUUCUCAUGGCUCCAACAUGUCCUUUUGGAAAGCUAUGGGGCAUCUGUUGUUUUGGGAGUGAGUUCCAGCCUGAAAGUGGUAGAGGCAUCCCUUCAAGAGAGCAGCUCAAAGUGCACUCAGACCCUGGAAUGCAAAAUGUCUUGGACUUUUUGCAAAUUAAUGCAUUUAUUACAUUCGUUUUGUAUUAUCAAGUAGCGUUGUGACUGCUCUGUUUGCUUGAAGUCUCUAGGGUAAAAAUAUUCUUUAAACAGAUGUUUAUUUUUGGACGGGCCAAUUGAGUUGUCUCCUAUUGUAUGUUAAAGCAGCUACUGGAGGUCAC